UCGCUGAUGAUAUAAGCUUGAUAUUCGUUCACCUGGCUAACUCCGUGCCAGCAGCCUGCGGUAAUACGGAGGGUGCAAGCUGUUACUCGGAAUCACUGGGCGUAAAGCGCAUGCAGGCGGUUUAUAAAGUCAGAAGUGAAAUCCUACAGCUCAACUGUAGAACUGCUUCUGAAACUCAUGAACUAGAGUCUGGGAGGGGAGAAUGGAAUUAGUAGUGUAGGGGUAAAAUCCGUAGAGAUUACUAGGAAUACCAAAAGCGAAGGCGAUUCUCUGGAACAGUACUGACGCUGAGAUGCGAAAGCGUGGGGAGCAAACAGGAUUAGAUACCCUGGUAGUCCACGCAGUAAACGAUGAAUGUUAGUCGUUGGAGUGCUAGACACUUCAGUGAUGCAGUAACACAUUAAACAUUCCGCCUGGGGGAGUACGGCGCAAAGAUUAAAACUCAAAAGGAAUAGACGGGGACCCGCACAAGUGGUGGAGCAUGUGGUUAAUUCGAAGAUACGCGAAGAACCUUACCUAGCCUUGACAUAUAUUAGAAUUCGUUAGAGAUAAUGAAGUGCCUUCGGGAGCUAAUAUACAGGUGCUGCACGGCUGUCGCAGCUCGUGUCGUGAGAUGUUGGGUUAAGUCCCGCAACGAGCGCAACCCUCGCUUAGUUACUAACGGUCGGCCGAGGACUCUAAGGAGACUGCCUUCGCAAGGAGGAGGAAGGUGAGGACGACGUCAAGUCAUCAUGGCCCUUACGGCUAGGGCAAACACACCGUGGCUACAAAUGGUUAGAGACAAUUGAGAGGCGAAUACCGCGAAGGUGGAGCAAAUCCUAUAAAACCUAAUCUCAGUUCCGGAUAGCAAGCUGCAAACUCGAACUGCUUGAAGCUGGAAUCACCUAAGGAAAUCGGAAAAUUCAAGCUAUUGGUACCGGGGAAAUACCGGUCCCCGGGGGCCUGGGACCUUCAACCGGGCGCGGGACAACCCAUUGGGGGAGGGAUUCACCCCG
RNAcentral lists this ribosomal RNA (995 nucleotides) under epibiont metagenome. Its description in RNAcentral is "bacterial SSU rRNA". It matches the Rfam family "Bacterial small subunit ribosomal RNA", at positions 463 to 1533 of the family's 1533-position model. The record is from RNAcentral.